This 85-nucleotide transfer RNA is filed under the name Felis catus (domestic cat). It matches the Rfam family "tRNA". From Rfam's summary of the family: Transfer RNA (tRNA) molecules are approximately 80 nucleotides in length. The record is from Rfam by way of RNAcentral. Lineage: Eukaryota; Metazoa; Chordata; Mammalia; Carnivora; Felidae.
GCCUGAGUGGCUCAGUUGGUUGGGUGACUGACUUCCGCUCAGGUCAUGAUCUUGCUGCUUGUGGGUUCGAGCCCCACGUUGGGUU